Molecule: non-coding RNA, 28 nt
Filed under: Callithrix jacchus (white-tufted-ear marmoset)
Lineage: Eukaryota; Metazoa; Chordata; Mammalia; Primates; Cebidae
Also listed under: 3 other names
Source: RNAcentral
UCAGUCUCAUAAUCUGAAGGUCGUGAGU